AAUAAGCUGCAUAACUGACGGAAGUGGAUGACCACAAGGGAGUGCAGCAGGAAAAGCCGACCGUCUGGGCAGCCGCA
Molecule: regulatory RNA element, 77 nt
Organism: Selenomonas sputigena ATCC 35185
Lineage: Bacteria; Bacillati; Bacillota; Negativicutes; Selenomonadales; Selenomonadaceae
Rfam family: ZMP/ZTP riboswitch aptamer (pfl RNA motif)
About the family: Previously known as pfl RNA.
Source: Rfam